UCCUAUUUUUAUGAUAAGGUUAAGAAAUCGCUUGUUUAUUUUCUAGACUUCCCUGUAACGAGAGUGCCAUCGAUGGUCUUGCAGCCCUAGUAUAUGUAAGUAUCGAUGAUGGCAUCAAUCUUUUUGCACCUCUAGCGACCGCGACACGUGUUGGAUCACAAAAUGAAUUUUCAAAAAGAAAUUUUUAAUUUUAAACAUAGUCUACGACCUUCGUGAACUAAGGAAAAGAUGUAUUAACGAUUGACCAAUUUACUGCAGCCUGCAGCUCGAUUCCAUUUAGGAACCCUCACUUUUCCAUGGACAGAACAAUGAUGUCGGAACUCAGCUUUAGGGAAGUGUGAUUCACAAUGGACACAUCCAAAGACUGCAUGGGCUAAGCCUACUUUGUAAGUAUUUCCUUGGUUACAAAAUAUUUUCUGCACCUUUCUGAUGAUAACUUGAGAUAGGGACAUCUGAUGCCCAUGACUGAUUUAUCUUGAUAGUAGAACUGAUUGCAGCAUUCUUUUUCUUCGCAUAACGCCAGUCAUGAGCACUUCUGAUCAA
Long non-coding RNA from Drosophila subobscura, 543 nucleotides. RefSeq lists it as uncharacterized. The record is from RefSeq and is a predicted model, not a curated record. The transcript is spliced from 4 exons. NCBI's taxonomy places the organism in Eukaryota, Metazoa, Arthropoda, Insecta, Diptera, Drosophilidae.